UGGAUAAGAACGAACGCGGGUCGCAGGCCUAACACAUGCAAGUCGAGCGGGCGCAGCAAUGCGUCAGCGGCAGACGGGUCAGUAACGCGUGGGAACGUACCUUUUGGUUCGGAACAACCCAGGGAAACUUGGGCUAAUACCGGAUAAGCCCUUACGGGGAAAGAUUUAUCGCCGAAAGAUCGGCCCGCGUCUGAUUAGCUAGUUGGUGAGGUAAUGGCUCACCAAGGCGACGAUCAGUAGCUGGUCUGAGAGGAUGAUCAGCCACAUUGGGACUGAGACACGGCCCAAACUCCUACGGGAGGCAGCAGUGGG
RNAcentral lists this ribosomal RNA (312 nucleotides) under uncultured Hyphomicrobiales bacterium. RNAcentral's name for it is "bacterial SSU rRNA". It matches the Rfam family "Bacterial small subunit ribosomal RNA", at positions 20 to 358 of the family's 1533-position model. Lineage: Bacteria; Pseudomonadati; Pseudomonadota; Alphaproteobacteria; Hyphomicrobiales. The record is from RNAcentral.